CGGACGGGUGAGUAAUACUUAGGAAUCUGCCCAUUAGUGGGGGACAACUAGAAGAAAUUCUAGCUAAUACCGCAUACGCCCUACGGGGGAAAGCGGGGGAUCUUCGGACCUCGCGCUAAUGGAUGAGCCUAAGUCGGAUUAGCUUGUUGGUGAGGUAAUGGCUCACCAAGGCGACGAUCCGUAGCUGGUCUGAGAGGACGAUCAGCCACACUGGGACUGAGACACGGCCUAG
RNAcentral lists this ribosomal RNA (232 nucleotides) under uncultured bacterium. RNAcentral describes it as "partial 16S ribosomal RNA". It matches the Rfam family "Bacterial small subunit ribosomal RNA", at positions 99 to 334 of the family's 1533-position model. The record is from RNAcentral.